UACAGAGACUGCAAGCGUUAUUCGGAUUCACUGGGCGUAAAGGGUACGCAGGCGGUCGGGUGUGUCAGAUGUGAAAUCCCGAGGCUCAACCUCGGAACUGCGUCUGAAACUACUCGACUAGAGUACUGGAGAGGGUAACGGAAUUCACGGUGUAGCAGUGAAAUGCGUAGAUAUCGUGAGGAACACCAGAGGCGAAGGCGGUUACCUGGACAGUUACUGACGCUCAAGCACGAAAGCAUGGGGAGCAAAAGGG
Molecule: ribosomal RNA, 253 nt
Filed under: uncultured bacterium
Lineage: Bacteria
Description: partial 16S ribosomal RNA
Rfam family: Bacterial small subunit ribosomal RNA
Source: RNAcentral